AGAGGGUUAGUUUAAUUAAAAUUCGGGGUUGUCAACUCCGGGAAGCUAGAAUAGCACUUUCUU
Molecule: transfer RNA, 63 nt
Filed under: Sinohyriopsis cumingii
Lineage: Eukaryota; Metazoa; Mollusca; Bivalvia; Unionida; Unionidae
Description: Hyriopsis cumingii tRNA-Asp
Source: RNAcentral